Molecule: ribosomal RNA, 253 nt
Filed under: uncultured prokaryote
Description: partial 16S ribosomal RNA
Rfam family: Bacterial small subunit ribosomal RNA
Source: RNAcentral
UACGUAGGGUGCAAGCGUUGUCCGGAAUUAUUGGGCGUAAAGAGCUCGUAGGUGGCCUGUCGCGUCGGCUGUGAAAACUCGGGGCUCAACUCCGAGCUUGCAGUCGAUACGGGCAGGCUAGAGUUCGGCAGGGGAGGCUGGAAUUCCUGGUGUAGCGGUGAAAUGCGCAGAUAUCAGGAGGAACACCGGUGGCGAAGGCGGGUCUCUGGGCCGACACUGACGCUGAGGCGCGAAAGCUAGGGGAGCGAACGGG